UGUCGGUAAAACUCGUGCCAGCUACCGCGGUUAUACGAGAGGCACCAAAUUGUUAGCACAUCGGCGUAAAGCGUGGUUAAGAAAAUAAACUUUUACUAAAGCCGAAUACCUUCAAAGCUGUCAUACGCACAUCGGAGGAAAGAAGACCAACUACGAAAGUGGCUUUAUUACAUCUGAACCCACGAAAGCUAGGAAACAAACUGGGAUUAGAUACCCCACUAUGACCACUAUGA
Molecule: ribosomal RNA, 233 nt
Filed under: Scatophagus argus
Lineage: Eukaryota; Metazoa; Chordata; Actinopteri; Scatophagidae
Description: partial 12S ribosomal RNA
Rfam family: Bacterial small subunit ribosomal RNA
Source: RNAcentral